GCAAGUCGAGGGGUAACAGGGGAGCUUGCUCCCGCUGACGACCGGCGCACGGGUGAGUAACGCGUAUGCAACCUGCCCUUUACUGGGGAAUAGCUUCGAGAAAUCGAAAUUAAUACCCCAUAAUAUCUAUUUAAGACAUCUUUUAUAGAUUAAAGUUUCGACGGUAAAGGAUGGGCAUGCGUGCCAUUAGUUUGUUGGUGAGGUAACGGCUCACCAAGACAGCGAUGGCUAGGGGGUCUAAAAGGAUGAUC
RNAcentral lists this ribosomal RNA (251 nucleotides) under uncultured bacterium. Its description in RNAcentral is "partial 16S ribosomal RNA". It matches the Rfam family "Bacterial small subunit ribosomal RNA", at positions 57 to 305 of the family's 1533-position model. The record is from RNAcentral.